GCGUCAUACCCAAGAAGACAUGAGGUUGUAAUCACUGCCAAAGGUGCUUCAACAAAGUACAGAGUAAAUGGUCUGACUACUUAUUUAAAUGAUAUUUUAUUUGUAUAAAUUAGCAUAAGUCUUAAAACUGUUUUUGCUUUGUCACGAUGGGGUAAGGUGUGUAGAUUGACUAGGGAAUUUUUUUAAAAAUAUUUUGUCGAAAAAUUAAAGGGUCUGAAUAUUUUCCGAAGGCACUGUAUACCAUUUCCACACACACACGAAGACAGAUCCAGCUCAGAGGCCCAACUCGUAAGCUCCAAUAGCAGCAGAUUUGAAUUUAGAAUGGAAAAUGAAUGUGUUUCAGUAAAAACAUGCUAGUGCGUCGAAUCGUAUCUCAUCGAACCGAAACGCAGAUGAUUUCCUCUAAAAGACUGCAUAAUCAAUCGGCAUCUGAAUUGGCCGUACAGUAUUCACUGCGAUGCAGUGUCGACAGACUUCAGGGUUUUCAUACUAAUUGCGUUUUGCGAAGCAGAGCCAUUGUGAAGGAAGUUGUCAAAGAUGGGAAUGUCCUCCAACGUCAUGGCGAUGGCUCUCAGUUUGGGGUCAUCUCGCCAGUUCACUUUACUGGCAAUGAUGAUCCCCUGGAGAAAACAUCGCAACAUGAUUUUGACAUAACAAAAACAGGACAUUCUGUGUGAUGGUGGCCAUCUUCUGGUAUUUCUCUCGGUGAGACUGGCCUUUCUGCAGGAUGUUUCUGUACUUCGCCUCGGGGAGGCUCCCUCUUCAACUCGUCCAUCUUCUCAUGAGUGAGACGCUUUGGAUCUGCAGAGGAGAAAAAUAAAAUGCAAACG
This is a long non-coding RNA of Oncorhynchus tshawytscha (Chinook salmon), 830 nucleotides long. RefSeq lists it as uncharacterized. The transcript is spliced from 3 exons. NCBI's taxonomy places the organism in Eukaryota, Metazoa, Chordata, Actinopteri, Salmoniformes, Salmonidae. The record is from RefSeq and is a predicted model, not a curated record.